Molecule: ribosomal RNA, 403 nt
Filed under: uncultured bacterium
Lineage: Bacteria
Description: bacterial SSU rRNA
Rfam family: Bacterial small subunit ribosomal RNA
Source: RNAcentral
UAGGGAAUAUUAGAAAUGGACGAAAGUCUGAUCUAGCAACACCGCGUGUGCGAAGAAGGCCUUCGGGUCGUAAAGCACUUUUUGGAAGGAAUAGGAAGGAAUGUACUUCCAGAAUAAGUCUUGGCUAACUACGUGCCAGCAGCCGCGGUAACACGUAGGAGGCAAACGUUAUCCGGAUUUACUGGGCGUAAAGCGCGUGUAGGUGGUACUGUAAGUAGGGCGUGAAAGCUCCCGGCUCAACUGGGAGAGGCCGUUCUAAACUACAGAACUAGAGGAUGGUAGAGGGAGGUGGAAUUCCAGGUGUAGCGGUGGAAUGCGCAGAUAUCUGGAGGAACACCAGUGGCGAAGGCGGCCUCCUGGACCAUUCCUGACACUCAGACGCGAAAGCUAGGGUAGCAAACGG